This 253-nucleotide unclassified non-coding RNA is filed under the name uncultured Alphaproteobacteria bacterium. Its description in RNAcentral is "contains 16S-23S intergenic spacer region". It matches the Rfam family "Bacterial small subunit ribosomal RNA", at positions 524 to 776 of the family's 1533-position model. The record is from RNAcentral. Lineage: Bacteria; Pseudomonadati; Pseudomonadota; Alphaproteobacteria.
UACGGAGGGGGCUAGCGUUGUUCGGAAUUACUGGGCGUAAAGCGCACGUAGGCGGACUGAUCAGUUGGGGGUGAAAGCCCGGAGCUCAACUCCGGAACUGCCUCCAAUACUGUCAGUCUCGAGUCCGAGAGAGGUGAGUGGAAUUUCCAGUGUAGAGGUGAAAUUCGUAGAUAUUGGAAAGAACACCAGUGGCGAAGGCGGCUCACUGGCUCGGUACUGACGCUGAGGUGCGAAAGUGUGGGGAGCAAACAGG